CUGAGGUGGAAGUGUGGCGACACAUGGAGCUGACAGAUACUAAUCGAUCGAGGACUUAACCAAUUU
This 66-nucleotide ribosomal RNA is filed under the name Bacillus amyloliquefaciens. Its description in RNAcentral is "partial 23S ribosomal RNA". The record is from RNAcentral. Lineage: Bacteria; Bacillati; Bacillota; Bacilli; Caryophanales; Bacillaceae.